AGCUGAUGCACAUGGCGGUUUUCCUCCCAGUGCCGCCGCAGCAGCUGUUCCCCUCUGGAGAUACAGAUCUCCACACUUCAUGGGCCGCGGAUUUCCGCUGGCCCAUUUUU
Molecule: small RNA, 110 nt
Filed under: uncultured Rhizobium sp.
Lineage: Bacteria; Pseudomonadati; Pseudomonadota; Alphaproteobacteria; Hyphomicrobiales; Rhizobiaceae
Description: Alphaproteobacterial ar15
Rfam family: Alphaproteobacterial ar15
Source: RNAcentral